RNAcentral lists this ribosomal RNA (634 nucleotides) under Reyranella sp. RNAcentral's name for it is "bacterial SSU rRNA". It matches the Rfam family "Bacterial small subunit ribosomal RNA", at positions 68 to 747 of the family's 1533-position model. The record is from RNAcentral. Lineage: Bacteria; Pseudomonadati; Pseudomonadota; Alphaproteobacteria; Hyphomicrobiales; Reyranellaceae.
GCGUGUAGCAAUACACGAGUGGCGCACGGGUGAGUAACACGUGGAUAUCUGCCUUUUGGUUCGGAAUAACCCUGGGAAACUAGGGCUAAUACCGAAUGGUUCCUACGGGAUAAAGAUUUAUCGCCAAAAGAUGAGUCCGCGUCCGAUUAGCUAGUUGGUGAGGUAAUGGCUCACCAAGGCGACGAUCGGUAGCUGGUCUGAGAGGACGAUCAGCCACACUGGGACUGAGACACGGCCCAGACUCCUACGGGAGGCAGCAGUGGGGAAUAUUGGACAAUGGGGGCAACCCUGAUCCAGCCAUGCCGCGUGAGUGAUGAAGGCCUUCGGGUUGUAAAGCUCUUUUGGCGGGGACGAUGAUGACGGUACCCGCAGAAUAAGCCCCGGCUAACUUCGUGCCAGCAGCCGCGGUAAGACGAAGGGGGCUAGCGUUGUUCGGAAUUACUGGGCGUAAAGCGCGUGUAGGCGGUUGCCAUAGUCAGGUGUGAAAGCCUUGAGCUUAACUCAAGAAAUGCACUUGAUACUGGGCGACUAGAGGACCGGAGAGGAUAGUGGAAUUCCCAGUGUAGUGGUGAAAUACGUAGAGAUUGGGAAGAACACCAGUGGCGAAGGCGGCUAUCUGGACGGUUCUGACGCU